This 216-nucleotide ribosomal RNA is filed under the name Glomeromycotina sp. Its description in RNAcentral is "partial small subunit ribosomal RNA". The stretch from base 40 to 216 matches the Rfam family "Eukaryotic small subunit ribosomal RNA", at positions 686 to 864 of the family's 1831-position model. The record is from RNAcentral. Lineage: Eukaryota; Fungi; Glomeromycota.
GGGUCAGUAGGUUGGUCGUGCCACCGGUACGUACUGGUCUCACUGAUUCCUCCUUCCUGAAGAACCGUAAUGCCAUUAAUUUGGUGUUGCGGGGAAACAGGACUGUUACUUUGAAAAAAUUAGAGUGUUUAAAGCAAGCUAACGCUUGAAUACAUUAGCACGGAAUAGUGAAAUAGGACGAUCGAUCCUAUUUUGUUGGUUUCUAGGAUUGACGUA